GGGGCCGAUUUUGGAUUUGACAGCAAGAUGAUAAAUCGGGUAAGCAUGUGGAGCACUUGUUAGCGCGGCUCGUUAAACUCGAACUUUCAAGUCAGAAAUGACAACAAUUCCUACGCGCUCGCAGCCUAAUCGACUCAGUCGAUAAGCCUAAUUCACGUCACCAGGUGACGGAACGAGCUAUCCCGAAGCAACGUACGGACCCUUCCGCGGCUUCAAUGGGGUAUCAGGUAAAUGGGACUAGUAAAGGGUGUGUCCGACGCCCGGCGCGAAAUCUACUGGACUAAGCCGCUGGGUGGGUUGUCUGUGAUCAGCCUCCGGUCGAAAACCAAUUGCAGAAUAAACAUGUAGAAAGCACGAGUUGUCCUUGUUUGGACGCGGGUUCGACUCCCGCCGGCUCCACUU
Molecule: transfer-messenger RNA, 402 nt
Filed under: Flavobacteriales bacterium
Lineage: Bacteria; Pseudomonadati; Bacteroidota; Flavobacteriia; Flavobacteriales
Rfam family: transfer-messenger RNA
About the family: Bacterial tmRNA, also known as 10Sa RNA or SsrA, is named for its dual tRNA and mRNA-like properties. Its role is to liberate the mRNA from a stalled ribosome.
Source: RNAcentral